AUGAUAUAGUCCAACCUUUAUAGUGAUAUAA
RNAcentral lists this non-coding RNA (31 nucleotides) under Candidatus Moranbacteria bacterium GW2011_GWF2_35_39. Lineage: Bacteria; Candidatus Moraniibacteriota. The record is from RNAcentral.